RNAcentral lists this ribosomal RNA (460 nucleotides) under uncultured bacterium. RNAcentral's name for it is "partial 16S ribosomal RNA". It matches the Rfam family "Bacterial small subunit ribosomal RNA", at positions 338 to 795 of the family's 1533-position model. The record is from RNAcentral.
CCUACGGGAGGCAGCAGUGAGGAAUAUUGGUCAAUGGGCGCUAGCCUGAACCAGCCAAGUCGCGUGAAGGAUGACUGCCCUAUGGGUUGUAAACUUCUUUUAUAUGGGAAUAAAGUGCACUCUGUAUACUGCUUUGCAUGUACCUUAUGAAUAAGCAUCGGCUAACUCCGUGCCAGCAGCCGCGGUAAUACGGAGGAUCCGAGCGUUAUCCGGAUUUCUUGGGUUUAAAGGGAGCGUAGGCGGGUUGUUAAGUCAGUUGUGAAAGUUCAGGGCUCAACCGUAAUAUUGCAGUUGAUACUGGCGACCUUGAGUACAGGAGAGGUAGGCGGAAUGCGUGGUGUAGCGGUGAAAUGCUUAGAUAUCACGAAGAACUCCGAUUGCGAAGGCAGCCUGCUGGACUGUAACUGACGCUGAGGCUCGAAAGUGUGGGUAUCAAACAGGAUUAGAUACCCGAGUAGUC